AUUUCUGUAAUGUUCUAGUAUAAGCACUUUAUACUGUGAACUGCGAAUGGCUCAUUAAAUCAGUUAUCGUUUAUUUGAUAGUACCUUACUACAUGGAUACCUGUGGUAAUUCUAGAGCUAAUACAUGCUGAAAACCUCGACUUCGGAAGGGGUGUAUUUAUUAGAUAAAAAACCAAUGCCCUUCGGGGCUCCUUGGUGAAUCAUAAUAACUUAACGAAUCGCAUGGCCUUGCGCCGGCGAUGGUUCAUUCAAAUUUCUGCCCUAUCAACUUUCGAUGGUAGGAUAGUGGCCUACCAUGGUGGCAACGGGUAACGGGGAAUUAGGGUUCGAUUCCGGAGAGGGAGCCUGAGAAACGGCUACCACAUCCAAGGAAGGCAGCAGGCGCGCAAAUUACCCAAUCCCGACACGGGGAGGUAGUGACAAUAAAUACUGAUACGGGGCUCUUUUGGGUCUCGUAAUUGGAAUGAGUACAAUCUAAAUCCCUUAACGAGGAACAAUUGGAGGGCAAGUCUGGUGCCAGCAGCCGCGGUAAUUCCAGCUCCAAUAGCGUAUAUUAAAGUUGUUGCAGUUAAAAAGCUCGUAGUUGAACCUUGGGUCUGGCUGGCCGGUCCGCCUCACCGCGAGUACUGGUCCGGCUGGACCUUUCCUUCUGGGGAAUCUCAUGGCCUUCACUGGCUGUGGGGGGAACCAGGACUUUUACUGUGAAAAAAUUAGAGUGUUCAAAGCAGGCCUUUGCUCGAAUACAUUAGCAUGGAAUAAUAGAAUAGGACGUGCGGUUCUAUUUUGUUGGUUUCUAGGACCGCCGUAAUGAUUAAUAGGGAUAGUCGGGGGCGUCAGUAUUCAGCUGUCAGAGGUGAAAUUCUUGGAUUUGCUGAAGACUAACUACUGCCGAAAGCAUUCGCCCAAGGAUGUUUUUCAUUAAUCCAGGGAACGAAAAGUUAGGGGGAUCGAAGAACAAUCAGAAUACCGGCGGAAGUCUUAAACCAUAAAACUAUGCCCGACUAAGGGAUCGGAAGGGUGGUUUCUAUUAUGAACCCGGUUCGGGACCCUUACGAAAAAAUCCAAAGUUUUUUGGGGUUCUGGGGGGGAAUCAAGGGGCCGCAAGGUUUGAAACUUUAAACAAAAUUUGACUGCAAGGGUUCACUACCAGGGUGGGGAACCU
RNAcentral lists this ribosomal RNA (1162 nucleotides) under Aspergillus awamori. RNAcentral describes it as "bacterial SSU rRNA". It matches the Rfam family "Eukaryotic small subunit ribosomal RNA", at positions 51 to 1184 of the family's 1831-position model. The record is from RNAcentral. Lineage: Eukaryota; Fungi; Ascomycota; Eurotiomycetes; Eurotiales; Aspergillaceae.